AAAAAGGCAAACCCUGGGUUUCCGUGCUAACGUUUGACUGUCCGUCUUAUAUGAAAUAUUUUUAUAAUUAGUAUUUUUAUUGUUGUUAGAUGAUAAAACAUGAUUAAUACUUUAUGCACGACUUAUCUUUUUAACUUUUUUUCAUAUUUUUUUCAAAUAAGACGGACGAUGAAACAUUGGACACGGAAACCAAUGUUUGUCUUUUUU
This is a non-coding RNA of Oryza nivara, 207 nucleotides long. NCBI's taxonomy places the organism in Eukaryota, Viridiplantae, Streptophyta, Magnoliopsida, Poales, Poaceae. The record is from Rfam.